GGGGCCCGCACAAGCGGAGGAGCAUGUGGUUUAAUUCGAUGAUACGCGAGGAACCUUACCUGGGCUCGAACGUAAGAUGACUGUAGGUGAAAGCUUACAUCUCUUCGGAGCAUUUUACGAGGUGCUGCAUGGUUGUCGUCAGCUCGUGCCGUGAGGUGUCGGGUUAAGUCCCAUAACGAGCGCAACCCCUACCUUUAGUUGCCAUCAGGUUAAGCUGGGGACUCUAAAGGAACUGCCUACGCAAGUAGUGAGGAAGGCGGGGAUGACGUCAAAUCAGCACGGCCCUUACGUCCAGGGCUACACACGUGCUACAAUGGCCGAUACAGAGGGCAGCUACCUGGUGACAGGAUGCAAAUCUCCAAAGUCGGUCUCAGUUCGGAUCGGAGUCUGCAACCCGACUCCGUGAAGUUGGAUUCGCUAGUAAUCGCGCAUCAGCCAUGGCGCGGUGAAUACGUUCCCGGGCCUU
RNAcentral lists this ribosomal RNA (466 nucleotides) under uncultured Sphingobacteriales bacterium. RNAcentral's name for it is "bacterial SSU rRNA". It matches the Rfam family "Bacterial small subunit ribosomal RNA", at positions 916 to 1382 of the family's 1533-position model. The record is from RNAcentral. Lineage: Bacteria; Pseudomonadati; Bacteroidota; Sphingobacteriia; Sphingobacteriales.